RNAcentral lists this ribosomal RNA (217 nucleotides) under uncultured bacterium. RNAcentral describes it as "partial 16S ribosomal RNA". It matches the Rfam family "Bacterial small subunit ribosomal RNA", at positions 1283 to 1500 of the family's 1533-position model. The record is from RNAcentral.
CAGUCUCAGUUCGGAUUGAAGGCUGAAAUUCGCCUUCAUGAAGCCGGAAUUGCUAGUAAUGGCAGGUCAGCAUACUGCCGUGAAUACGUUCCCGGGCCUUGUACACACCGCCCGUCACACCAUGAGAGUUGGGGAUGCCCGAAGCCUGUGAGCUAACUUUUAGAGGCAGCAGUCGAAGGUAGAAUCAAUGAUUGGGGUGAAGUCGUAACAAGGUACC